Molecule: transfer RNA, 75 nt
Filed under: Candidatus Peregrinibacteria bacterium
Lineage: Bacteria; Candidatus Peregrinibacteriota
Description: tRNA-Gly
Rfam family: tRNA
About the family: Transfer RNA (tRNA) molecules are approximately 80 nucleotides in length. Their secondary structure includes four short double-helical elements and three loops (D, anti-codon, and T loops).
Source: RNAcentral
GCGGGUAUAGUAUAAUGGCUAUUAUGACUCUCUUCCAAGGAGUAGAUACGGGUUCGAUUCCCGUUACCCGCUCCA